RNAcentral lists this ribosomal RNA (808 nucleotides) under uncultured Polyangiaceae bacterium. RNAcentral's name for it is "bacterial SSU rRNA". It matches the Rfam family "Bacterial small subunit ribosomal RNA", at positions 8 to 796 of the family's 1533-position model. The record is from RNAcentral. Lineage: Bacteria; Pseudomonadati; Myxococcota; Polyangiales; Polyangiaceae.
AGAGUUUGAUCCUGGCUCAGAACGAACGUUCGCGGCGCGCUUAACACAUGCAAGUCGCACGAGAAAGGGCUUCGGCCCCGGUACAGUGGCGCACGGGUGAGUAACACGUAGGUAAUUUGCCUCCGAGUGGUGGAUAACCUUCCGAAAGGAGGGCUAAUACAGCAUGAGACCACGACCCCGAAAGGGGAUGAGGUCAAAGCGGGCCUCUUCAUGAAAGCUCGCGCUUGGGGAUGAGCCUGCGGCCCAUCAGCUAGUUGGUAGGGUAAUGGCCUACCAAGGCGAAGACGGGUAGCUGGUCUGAGAGGAUGAUCAGCCACACUGGAACUGAGACACGGUCCAGACUCCUACGGGAGGCAGCAGUGGGGAAUCUUGCGCAAUGGGCGAAAGCCUGACGCAGCGACGCCGCGUGGGUGAUGAAGGCCUUCGGGUUGUAAAGCCCUGUGGGGAGGGAAGAAUGAGUCGGGGCGAAUACCCCCGGCGAUGACGGUACCUCCUUAGCAAGCACCGGCUAACUCUGUGCCAGCAGCCGCGGUAAGACAGAGGGUGCGAACGUUGUUCGGAAUUACUGGGCGUAAAGCGCAUGUAGGCGGCCGCGCAGGUCGGGUGUGAAAGCCCUGGGCUCAACCCAGGAAGUGCACUCGAAACCGCGCGGCUCGAGUCCCGGAGAGGAAGUUGGAAUUCUCGGUGUAGAGGUGAAAUUCGUAGAUAUCGGGAGGAACACCGGCGGCGAAAGCGGACUUCUGGACGAGGACUGACGCUGAGAUGCGAAAGCGUGGGGAGCAAACAGGAUUAGAUACCCCGGUAGUCC